This 557-nucleotide ribosomal RNA is filed under the name uncultured bacterium. Its description in RNAcentral is "bacterial SSU rRNA". It matches the Rfam family "Bacterial small subunit ribosomal RNA", at positions 339 to 906 of the family's 1533-position model. The record is from RNAcentral.
CUACGGGAGGCAGCAGUGGGGAAUAUUGCACAAUGGGCGCAAGCCUGAUGCAGCAACGCCGCGUGAGGGAUGACGGCCUUCGGGUUGUAAACCUCUUUUAGCAGGGAAGAAGCGAAAGUGACGGUACCUGCAGAAAAAGCACCGGCUAACUACGUGCCAGCAGCCGCGGUAAUACGUAGGGUGCAAGCGUUGUCCGGAAUUAGUGGGCGUAAAGAGCUCGUAGGCGGUCUGUCCCGUCUGCUGUGAAAAUCCAAGGCUCAACCUUGGACUUGCAGUGGGUACGGGCAGGCUAGAGUGCGGUAGGGGAGAUGGGAAUUCCUGGUGUAGCGGUGGAAUGCGCAGAUAUCAGGAGGAACACCAAUGGCGAAGGCACAUCUCUGGGCUGUAACUGACGCUGAGGAGCGAAAGCGUGGGGAGCGAACAGGAUUAGAUACCCUGGUAGUCCACGCCGUAAACGGUGGGUGCUAGCUGUGGGCCACAUUCCACGUGGUCCGUGACGAAGUUAACACAUUAAGCACCCCGCCUGGGGAGUACGGCCGCAAGGCUAAAACUCAAAG